Molecule: long non-coding RNA, 1984 nt
Organism: Cebus imitator (Panamanian white-faced capuchin)
Lineage: Eukaryota; Metazoa; Chordata; Mammalia; Primates; Cebidae
Exons: 2
Source: RefSeq, a predicted model, not a curated record
CUGGGACGGGGCUCUCACGGCGCGCCCUGAGGACGGGCACGGUCGCCCGGCCCCUCCGAGCCGCUGCGCGGAAGCUGGGUCCGUCCCUGGCUCAGCCAGUCCGGGGCGGUGGGGAGGGGUCCUGCGCGCACGGCUCUCCUCACUCUCCAAUCGUGACCACCCCGGGCCCUUCCCUCCAUUUUUAAUCAAUAAACCAAGCCGCCCGGGGUGACUGUCCCCGCACCCAGCUGCCGCCUUGGAGACGAGGGUGUCUUAUAAGCCUGUAGAGCCCAGAAUAGGUUUCAGAAAGACGCUUCCUUGCCUCGGACCUCACUGGGGACCAGAGGCCACAGGCUCAGUCUUCGCAGCUGAGGACAGCGCCGCAGUAAGCAGAGACCUCGGGACGACGAAUGACGUUGCUGACAAAAAAUGAUUGAUUUUAAUUGUUUUAAGAAAGGAAACUGCUGGUCUCGAAAACAGACCCGAAUUGGGCCCUACUGCCUGUUCGCAUUGCAGCCUUUCAAACGAACGGAAUACGGGACCUCAGCCCAGGCGUGUUCUCCGCAGCCGCAGCAGCCAGUGAGCGUGGAGGACGGAGCCUAGGAGAGGCGCCUCCCCUACAGGAAAGCAGUGUUUGGGGAAAAUCGCCGUCAACGGACAGCUGGAAUUUUGUACCUGACCUUUGGCUCCCAGAAGGCAGGAGAGGAAAUGAAUGGACCAAGCUGGGUAUGGCGGAGAGGGCACCUCUGGGGGCUCCAAGGGGCACCUUGAGCUCAGUAGUGGGACAGCCUGAGUUUUCCAGAAAGAGCAGAAAUGGAGAGUGAUGAUUAAAUCUCAGGAUUUUUAAUUUUUAAGUGUUGACAACUAAUUAGAACAUUUUUAAAGUAGGUCAAACCACAGGCAGGCUGACCGGCUGCAUGCACACUUGCAAGGCAGGGCGCAGGCUCACUGCACAGCCGCUGCCCUCAGACUGGACUCAGGACAGAAGCAGAAUGCAGGACUCGCAUGAAACCGACCAGGUUCCAAGGCCCCUGGGUCCCAAAGGCCGGGGUAACUUUGAAGGUUCCCACGCUCAGGCCCCCACUCUUCAAGUGCGCUGCUACUCCAGUGAGAUUGUAAUGAGUCUGGUGCCUUGUACACACAGUGGUGUCUUCUCUGUUCUUCCAGGCCCUGGCGGGAGCCCGUCAUAAGGUAGUCGGGGCUCUGUAGGCUGGGCUCAGCGUCCUGCUCUCAUACCUUUGUUGGCAUUACCCAAGGGUCCUCUGGGGGAACCGCCCAGCCUGGCAGCUGCAGCAGCUGUGAAGCUCAAAGGGUAUAUGCCCACCUAUCCCAGCUUCCCUUGCAGGGAGGGUCUUGUGCACCGGGAGGCCCUGGGGGAGGUGGGAACCGCAGACAGCCAGGCAGCUCUACUGAGUCUGGGGCUUUCAGGAGAACCGCCUCCCUGGAGGAGGAGCUGGGGGGCGAAGGGGUGGGGAUACUACGUGACUUCCCUUCCUAAUGUGCCUGCGGUGAGGGGUCACCCUGGGGACCUCAGGCCAAAUUUUCUUGUAGUAUCUCUGUGUGAUUUAAGUUUUGCCACAAGCAGUUAGGACUUGUGUAGUUUGGAAGAAAAAUCCCACCCUGGCAUAAGGGGAAUUGUAACAAGUGCCAAUCGUAAGCACUGUGUUUAAACCCGGAAAAAAGUUUGCUCCAGGCUGUAGGCAAAGAGGUGGCAUUGGAGGCCGGCAGCUCGGUGGGCCUUCCAAGUUUACUAAGCAGGUUGUCUUUUUCAAUAAAAUAGGGCAUCAGACACGCUCACUUAUUAUAAAAAUAAACUAAUAAAAACAUUGUUUUGAAUUAAGUUUAAAACACAUUGAGAAUGAAACAAAUCUAAGUAUAAAGGGAGUCGUGGUUUCCAUGCUGCCGGCUGUGUGAAAGGUCUGUGGUGUUUGUUAUGGGACCUGUGCUUUUGUUGUCUGCCUGAGAUCCUUCAUCAUAAAACAAUUUAAAAAAAAAAAAAAAGAAA